UGGCCUCGGCCUCAGUCGUCUCGCCCGGGUUUCCGUUUCCACCCCGAAUUUUACCCUUUCCGCCUCCGGUCUCAUCUCCGCCGGCGCAAGAUGGCGGCGGCCGCGGGCACAGCGAGGAAGGCGGGCGCGGCGCCCAGGGUGGGGCUUCUGUACGACGAGAGGAUGUGCGCGCACGCGCCUACCACCGGGACGAAUCAGCCGGAGACCCCCGAGCGGCUACGCGCCAUCUGGCGCAAGCUCGCCGCCGAGGGCGUCGCGUCCAGGUGUGUGGGCAUGAGGGCGAAGGAAGCCAAGGAAAAAUAUAUAGUCUCCGUCCAUGUCCCCAAGUACAUAAAUCUUAUAAGGAAUAUCAGCUCGAAGGAUAGUUACAAACAAGAAAAGGCUGCUAGGAAAUUCGAUUCCAUUUACUUCAACAAAGGCUCAUCAGAGUCUGCUUUCCUUGCGGCCGGUUCUGUUAUCGAGGUUGCUGAGAAGGUUGCGGCUGGUGAGCUGAGUUCUGCUAUCGCUCUAGUCAGACCUCCAGGCCACCAUGCCGAAUAUGACAAGCCCAUGGGAUUUUGCCUCUUCAACAAUGUGGCAAUUGCAGCUAACUACCUCUUAAAUGAAAGGCCUGACCUAGGUAUCAACAAGAUAUUAAUCGUCGAUUGGGAUGUUCAUCAUGGAAAUGGCACGCAGGACAUGUUUUAUAGUGACCCUCGUGUAUUGUUCUUUUCAGUGCACAGAUAUGAUUUUGGAAGCUUCUACCCUUAUGAAGUGGAUGCAUCACACUGUUUCAUUGGGGAUGAAACUGGUCGAGGGUACAACAUUAAUGUGCCCUGGGAUCAUGCGAAAUGCGGUGAUGCAGAUUAUGUUGCUGCAUGGGACCAUGUACUCCUUCCUGUUGCAGAAGCAUUUGAUCCGGAUAUAAUAUUACUGUCUGCUGGGUUUGACGCAGCACUGGGUGAUUGUAUGGGUGAUUGCUGCAUCACUCCAAAUGGAUAUGCACUGCUACUAACAAAGCUGUUAGGUUUUGCAAAAGGAAGGAUUGUGAUGGCCCUUGAAGGUGGUUAUAAUCCUGAGUCCAUAGCAAACUCAGUUUGUGCUUGCGCAAAAGUAUUGUUGGGAGAUAAAUUCGCACUUAACUCUCCAGAGAUGCAACCAUUCGAAUCUACAUGGAGAGUCAUACAAAUGGUACGCGAUGAAUUAAAGACAUACUGGCCUGUUUUGAGCAGUAAGCUUCCGGAGAACGUAUCUUUGAGGAGUACGCCCUCAUAUAUCGAGGGUUAUAACGAAGCACCAUAAUGUAGGCCAAUUCCAUAGAUGAAUGCAUGUUCACGAGUGAUGUGGACUGUAUUACACAGCUCAGUUGAUAUCCUAUUUCCAUAUUAUCCACAGCCAGUCCAUAUUGGAUGAACCUUUUGUUGUUGUUGUUGUGAUCAAUGCUUCAUGUGUAUACUUAUUCUGAGCCAUGCACUUCCUCUGGUUCUGAGUGAUGUUUCGAGUAUGAUAUGCUUGGAGAUCCGCAUUGUCAAAAGUUCAAUAUUUGGUAUGCCAGCUUUGGUUCAAACACGUGGAAACCAAGAUUCUUGUGCUACAUCGAAGGGGGUAAGGUUGAUGGUAUGAGUAUGCCAUGUUUUCGUUCACAUGACACAAGCCCACGAAGAGGCACCAUGUGGAAGAAUGUGCAUCAUAGAUUUUUUUUUCCGGGAGAUCCUCUAUCCCCUGUGGGAUACUGGUGGUGUUGCUUUUCCUUAACCCUGAUUUAAACUACAGUGACAAGUCAUGUCUGCAGGUACAAAAUAAUGCUUGAGCAGUUCAAUGACGCAUUGUUUAGACUCUGCCUUUGAUUCGCUUGGAAAAAUUGAGUCUCCUGGCUCUCCUUUUAUUUGCUUGUCUGAAAUAGACUCUGCCUCGUCACAAAAAGCUCUUCCAUCUUGAACCUGUUAAGGUUAGAUUUGCUGCUUUCCACAUCAAGCGCACGCUUAUCCUCUGCAUACAAUUUUCUAUAUGCCUAUAUAAAUAAAUGAGAAUAGUUAAUAUCGCAUUGUUGGAAAAAAAAAAGCUCUUAAGUGUGACUGUCCUUCUGGCAGCACUUUGAUAAAGGACACUAACAACCUCUUGUGUGGCCAUCACUGGUAGAAGCCAUCACUCUUACAGAUUAACGCUAUUGCCUGCUGUAAUAGUUGAUCCUUUGGUAAAGAAAGUGCCCUGUCCUGCCUCUUUUGUCCGUCAGGUUGGACUGAAGUUAGAAGUUACCUGGGACUGAUGCCUAGUCCAGAUCGCAGUUUGGAUUGUUAUCUUGGAUUUGAAGCUCUUUUGACAUCAUCACAACAGUAAAAAAAGGUCUGGUCUCAGUACAUUACAAACUGAAAAGGAUAAACUAUUUUCUCUUCUCAUAAUGCCCCUUCAUCCAUAGUCAUAUAGCUGACAGUAGUUGGUUUUCUAAAUAAAUCUGAUGCUAGUUAUAUUUUCGUAUUAGUGGAUCAUUUCUGCAAGUUA
RNA transcript from Hordeum vulgare subsp. vulgare (domesticated barley), 2478 nucleotides. It is a transcript of the gene named histone deacetylase 5-like, with no coding region annotated. The transcript has 12 exons. NCBI's taxonomy places the organism in Eukaryota, Viridiplantae, Streptophyta, Magnoliopsida, Poales, Poaceae. The record is from RefSeq and is a predicted model, not a curated record.